RNAcentral lists this ribosomal RNA (227 nucleotides) under uncultured bacterium. RNAcentral describes it as "partial 16S ribosomal RNA". It matches the Rfam family "Bacterial small subunit ribosomal RNA", at positions 118 to 346 of the family's 1533-position model. The record is from RNAcentral.
UGAGCAAUCUGCCCUUCUCAUCGGAAUAAGCGUUGGAAACGACGUCUAAUGCCGAAUACGACCUCCUUUCGCAUGAUCGGAGGUGGAAAGCUCCGGCGAAGAAGGAUGAGCUCGCGGCCUAUCAGCUUGUUGGUGGGGUAACGGCCUACCAAGGCGACGAUGGGUAGCUGGUCUGAGAGGACGAUCAGCCACACUGGGACUGAGACACGGCCCAGACCUNUACAGGG